This 205-nucleotide long non-coding RNA is filed under the name Sorghum bicolor (sorghum). RNAcentral's name for it is "long non-coding RNA (SBIC_LNC010228)". Lineage: Eukaryota; Viridiplantae; Streptophyta; Magnoliopsida; Poales; Poaceae. The record is from RNAcentral.
CGGGUUAAGUACGACAUCUUUCAGGGACUCUUUAGAAAAUGUUACCCCGAAGGGGUAUGUUCUAAUCUGGUGCCUUGGUUUUAGAUCGAACGGCUCAGGAUCAAUCCACGGAGGGAAGAGGAGAUGCUGGCCGGCUACAGAGCUCUGGCCGGUGGCGCCAUGGCCGGAUUUCGGCCGGAACAUCGCCGGAGUCGGGAACUCACCU